CGGCGUGACUACUUUCCGACGUUGGAUAUCGCGUAACAGACUUUUGUCACCUCUCCGAAAGCAGUCGUUUGAGAAUUCCCAUCGAUCAGGGGUUAGCGGACAUCCCGAUUUCCCGGUGAAUCAAAUGAAGUAAGAGUACGAAUAUAUGAGAUCGAAAUCGAAGCUAGGAGCUCUUGUAUCAAGGCCCGAACGGGGUACUCGCCACCGGGCCUGAUAAGACAACACUCCUCGAAUCCAGAACGAGCUCCAAGACCUCGGAAAGCUUGACAAACAGUUGCACACGACUAACAGAGGACCGUGAAAUCCGCACCCAACCGGAUAUCACGGCGCAGAUCUCGCCCGAUGUCGGUAGCGGAUAAGUAAUUGAUGAGAAAGAAGGAUUUUUUUACAUUUUUUAGAAUUGUAUUAGGGGUGAAACUUUCCUACUAUAUAAAGUGGAAGCUUUUUAUUCAAUAGGACACAUUGUAAGACGCAGACCAAGAAAUACAAGUUCAUUUUUCUGCUUUCUA
Molecule: long non-coding RNA, 509 nt
Organism: Nicotiana tabacum (common tobacco)
Lineage: Eukaryota; Viridiplantae; Streptophyta; Magnoliopsida; Solanales; Solanaceae
Source: RefSeq, a predicted model, not a curated record